RNAcentral lists this long non-coding RNA (639 nucleotides) under Musa acuminata (dwarf banana). RNAcentral's name for it is "long non-coding RNA (MACU_LNC006510)". Lineage: Eukaryota; Viridiplantae; Streptophyta; Magnoliopsida; Zingiberales; Musaceae. The record is from RNAcentral.
CUAAUAAUAGACACCAUUAUUAUUUUUUAUGUCUUCAUACAAUGUGUUGCCAUGUUUUACUCUUUAACAUCCUUUCGUUUUACUUUUUGUUGGAUGGAGCUGUAUUCAACUCUGAAGAGGGCAUUUGCUAUAAUGCCAAUGGUGCAACAAAUGUAUUUUUCUUUUUCUUUUUUUUUAUUUGUCUUAAAGAAGGAUAUUUCCAUUUUCACUUCUCCCGUUGCAUCGCCAAUCCCCAAGUCUUCUUUUUCAUGUCUUAUCAUCUCAACAAACAAACAAACAAACAAACUCUCUGAUAGGGGUUGGGUUGGGGUGGGGUGGAGGGCAAUGAUACAAUUCAUAACAGCUUGGUGCAAUCGGAACAACGAGGGACAUACAAACUAAUAAGUGAGCAGCCACCAUCCCUUUAUAUUAAUUACAUUAAGCUAAUAAAUGACUACAUCCCUUUAUAUUAAUUACAUUAAGCUAAUAAAUGACUACAUCCCUUCAUGGUCACAAGGGUAUGCAUUAAGAAUCGAUUAUUAGGGAGAAGGCAACCAACCUUAGCACAAAACUACAAUUUUAAGAAACAAAGAGAAAAAGGUAAAGAGAUAACACUUCAUAUAGUAUAUGUUCUAACCCAAUAUUCAAUUUUGAAUUGUC